GAUGAACGCUGGCGGCGCGCCUAACACAUGCAAGUCGAACGAUUAAAGCACCUUCGGGUGUGUAUAAAGUGGCGAACGGCUGAGUAACACGUGGGCAACCUGCCCCUUUCAUUGGGAUAGCCACGGGAAACCGUGGAUAAUACCGAAUACUUCGAGACUUCCGCAUGGAAGACUCGAGAAAGCUCCGGCGGAGAGGGAUGGGCCCGCGGCCUGUUAGCUUGUUGGUGGGGUAACGGCCUACCAAGGCAAUGAUGGGUAGCUGGGUUGAGAGACCGACCAGCCAGAUUGGGACUGAGACACGGCCCAGACUCCUACGGGAGGCAGCAGUGGGGAAUCUUGCAUAAUGGGCGAAAGCCUGAUGCAGCGACGCCGCGUGCGGGAUGAAGGCCUUCGGGUUGUAAACCGCUUUCAGCAGGGACGAGGCGAAAGUGACGGUACCUGCAGAAGAAGCCCCGGCUAACUACGUG
This 467-nucleotide ribosomal RNA is filed under the name uncultured bacterium. RNAcentral's name for it is "partial 16S ribosomal RNA". It matches the Rfam family "Bacterial small subunit ribosomal RNA", at positions 28 to 507 of the family's 1533-position model. The record is from RNAcentral.